This 735-nucleotide ribosomal RNA is filed under the name uncultured Bacilli bacterium. Its description in RNAcentral is "bacterial SSU rRNA". It matches the Rfam family "Bacterial small subunit ribosomal RNA", at positions 28 to 734 of the family's 1533-position model. Lineage: Bacteria; Bacillati; Bacillota; Bacilli. The record is from RNAcentral.
GACGAACGCUGGCGGCGUGCCUAAUACAUGCAAGUCGAACGCUUCUUUCCUCCCGAGUGCUUGCACUCAACUGGAAAGAGGAGUGGCGGACGGGUGAGUAACACGUGGGUAACCUACCCAUCAGAGGGGGAUAACACUUGGAAACAGGUGCUAAUACCGCAUAACAGUUUAUGCCGCAUGGCAUAAGAGUGAAAGGCGCUUUCGGGUGUCGCUGAUGGAUGGACCCGCGGUGCAUUAGCCAGUUGGUGAGGUAACGGCUCACCAAGGCCACGAUGCAUAGCCGACCUGAGAGGGUGAUCGGCCACACUGGGACUGAGACACGGCCCAGACUCCUACGGGAGGCAGCAGUAGGGAAUCUUCGGCAAUGGACGAAAGUCUGACCGAGCAACGCCGCGUGAGUGAAGAAGGUUUUCGGAUCGUAAAACUCUGUUGUUAGAGAAGAACAAGGACGUUAGUAACUGAACGUCCCCUGACGGUAUCUAACCAGAAAGCCACGGCUAACUACGUGCCAGCAGCCGCGGUAAUACGUAGGUGGCAAGCGUUGUCCGGAUUUAUUGGGCGUAAAGCGAGCGCAGGCGGUUUCUUAAGUCUGAUGUGAAAGCCCCCGGCUCAACCGGGGAGGGUCAUUGGAAACUGGGAGACUUGAGUGCAGAAGAGGAGAGUGGAAUUCCAUGUGUAGCGGUGAAAUGCGUAGAUAUAUGGAGGAACACCAGUGGCGAAGGCGGCUCUCUGGUC